Molecule: long non-coding RNA, 229 nt
Filed under: Nicotiana benthamiana
Lineage: Eukaryota; Viridiplantae; Streptophyta; Magnoliopsida; Solanales; Solanaceae
Description: long non-coding RNA (NBEN_LNC002349)
Source: RNAcentral
UCUGGGCCAAAUUGGAAGUGGAAACAAAGUCGAAUUGUUCUGUUAGAAAGAUGUUAGGCUUGCUUAUCAAUGGUAUUCCCAUCCAAAUCCUAGUCAACAUAGGACAUAUUGUUCUUGUUAUAAAUGUCGUCAAAGUCGACCCAAUAAGCAAUUGUUUUCUCUAAGCCCUAGCAUAGUUACAUCCUCUUCUUUCUAAGCUAUGGCAAACUGGGCAGAAUUGCCUCGUGAC